CUCUGUGGCGAUUCCUGCUUGUCAAUACCCGAUCUCAUCAGACCUUGGAAGCUAAGCAAGACCGGGCCUGGUUAAUACUUGAACAGGAGACCAUUGGGA
This 99-nucleotide ribosomal RNA is filed under the name Periophthalmus magnuspinnatus. The record is from RNAcentral. Lineage: Eukaryota; Metazoa; Chordata; Actinopteri; Gobiiformes; Gobiidae.